GUGGGUAUACCUCAGUGGUAGAGUACAUGCUUAGCCUGCAUGAGGUCCUGGGUUCAACCUUCAGUACCCCCA
RNAcentral lists this transfer RNA (72 nucleotides) under Camelus bactrianus (Bactrian camel). It matches the Rfam family "tRNA". From Rfam's summary of the family: Transfer RNA (tRNA) molecules are approximately 80 nucleotides in length. Their secondary structure includes four short double-helical elements and three loops (D, anti-codon, and T loops). Further hydrogen bonds mediate the characteristic L-shaped molecular structure. tRNAs have two regions of fundamental functional importance: the anti-codon, which is responsible for specific mRNA codon recognition, and the 3' end, to which the tRNAs corresponding amino acid is attached (by aminoacyl-tRNA synthetases). tRNAs cope with the degeneracy of the genetic code in two manners: having more than one tRNA (with a specific anti-codon) for a particular amino acid; and 'wobble' base-pairing, i.e. permitting non-standard base-pairing at the 3rd anti-codon position. RNAcentral also lists the same sequence under 2 other names. The record is from Rfam by way of RNAcentral. Lineage: Eukaryota; Metazoa; Chordata; Mammalia; Artiodactyla; Camelidae.